UCGCUCAGGCCUCGCCUCAUUGCAUACGCAUUAAUCUUUCGCCUUUUACUAAAGAUUACCGUGGGGUGGGGCACUCGAAUGAGCAAUUAAGUAAUUUUUGUGGGGCCCUUCCCGUUUGGGUGGGGC
Molecule: small nuclear RNA, 126 nt
Organism: Rhipicephalus microplus (southern cattle tick)
Lineage: Eukaryota; Metazoa; Arthropoda; Arachnida; Ixodida; Ixodidae
Product: U5 spliceosomal RNA
Source: RefSeq, a predicted model, not a curated record